UACGUAGGGUGCGAGCGUUGUCCGGAAUUACUGGGCGUAAAGAGCUUGUAGGCGGUUUGUCGCGUCUGCUGUGAAAAUCCGGGGCUCAACCCCGGACUUGCAGUGGGUACGGGCAGACUAGAGUGUGGUAGGGGAGACUGGAAUUCCUGGUGUAGCGGUGAAAUGCGCAGAUAUCAGGAGGAACACCGAUGGCGAAGGCAGGUCUCUGGGCCACUACUGACGCUGAGAAGCGAAAGCAUGGGGGAGCGAACAGG
Molecule: ribosomal RNA, 254 nt
Filed under: uncultured bacterium
Lineage: Bacteria
Description: partial 16S ribosomal RNA
Rfam family: Bacterial small subunit ribosomal RNA
Source: RNAcentral